This 153-nucleotide non-coding RNA is filed under the name Mycoplasmopsis alligatoris. Its description in RNAcentral is "Mycoplasma alligatoris Lysine sequence". It matches the Rfam family "Lysine riboswitch aptamer". Rfam says of the family: Riboswitches are metabolite binding domains within certain messenger RNAs that serve as precision sensors for their corresponding targets. Allosteric rearrangement of mRNA structure is mediated by ligand binding, and this results in modulation of gene expression. The record is from RNAcentral. Lineage: Bacteria; Bacillati; Mycoplasmatota; Mycoplasmoidales; Metamycoplasmataceae.
ACUAAAAAUAGAGGCGCUAGAAGUAUUAGUAGUCAAGUUCAAAAAAAUUUGACGAAAGGAUUAUAGCCGAAUAAGGUCACAAGCCUUAUGGUAACUGGGGAAAUACCUCUUUUACUCUCAACAUGUAAAAAUGUUGGUGGAGCUAUUUAAAUU